UACGAAGGGGACUAGCGUUACUCGGAAUUAUUGGGCGUAAAGCGUGCGUAGGCGGCCUAGAAAGUUGGAAGUGAAAGCCUUGAGCUCAACUCAAGAACUGCUUUCAAAACUCCUAGGCUUGAGUUUCGGAGGGGAUAGCGGAAUUCCUAGUGUAGAGGUGAAAUUCGUAGAUAUUAGGAGGAACGCCGGUGGCGAAAGCGGCUAUCUGGACGAACACUGACGCUGUUGCACGAAAGCGUGGGUAGCAAACAGG
RNAcentral lists this ribosomal RNA (253 nucleotides) under uncultured bacterium. RNAcentral's name for it is "partial 16S ribosomal RNA". It matches the Rfam family "Bacterial small subunit ribosomal RNA", at positions 524 to 776 of the family's 1533-position model. The record is from RNAcentral.